GGGAAGGUCAACCGUUCAACCUUAAAGAGACUCCACUACUCUCUACUCACCUUCAAUUUCACUCUUCAACUCUCUCUGCAAAUGGGUAACUAUAGAAUGUGUAUGUGCUUCAUCAGGAAGUUCAAAGUCGUAGAGGCGGGGCCGCCUCCGGACGUUAAGGAUCACUUUAAGAAGUAUGCUAACGGCGCCACCCACAUGACUGCUGAGCAGCUCCGGACUUUCUUGAUGGAUGUCCAGGGCGA
RNAcentral lists this unclassified non-coding RNA (242 nucleotides) under Hevea brasiliensis (rubber tree). Lineage: Eukaryota; Viridiplantae; Streptophyta; Magnoliopsida; Malpighiales; Euphorbiaceae. The record is from RNAcentral.